RNAcentral lists this transfer RNA (85 nucleotides) under Felis catus (domestic cat). It matches the Rfam family "tRNA". From Rfam's summary of the family: Transfer RNA (tRNA) molecules are approximately 80 nucleotides in length. Their secondary structure includes four short double-helical elements and three loops (D, anti-codon, and T loops). Further hydrogen bonds mediate the characteristic L-shaped molecular structure. tRNAs have two regions of fundamental functional importance: the anti-codon, which is responsible for specific mRNA codon recognition, and the 3' end, to which the tRNAs corresponding amino acid is attached (by aminoacyl-tRNA synthetases). tRNAs cope with the degeneracy of the genetic code in two manners: having more than one tRNA (with a specific anti-codon) for a particular amino acid; and 'wobble' base-pairing, i.e. permitting non-standard base-pairing at the 3rd anti-codon position. Lineage: Eukaryota; Metazoa; Chordata; Mammalia; Carnivora; Felidae. RNAcentral also lists the same sequence under 1 other name. The record is from Rfam by way of RNAcentral.
GCCUGGGUGGCUCAGUCGGUUGAGCGGCUGACUUCGGCUCAGGUCAUGAUCUCGCGGUCCGUGGGUUCGAGCCCCGCGUCGGGCU